UUUCCGUAGGUGAACCUGCGGAAGGAUCAUUGUCGAAACCUGCAAAAGCAGACCGCGAACACGUUCUAUCACUCGGGGUCGUGGCGAGGGGGCAACCUCACGUCACGUUCCCUUCCCACACGAUGCACUAUGUGGGCUAACGAACCCCGGCGCGGCAUGCGCCAAGGAAAACUUAUAGAAGCAUCCGCCUCCCGUCGACCCGUCCGCGGUGAGCGAGGGGGGAUGUCUCUCAAUGUCAUAACGACUCUCGACAACGGAUAUCUCGGCUCUCGCAUCGAUGAAGAACGUAGCGAAAUGCGAUACUUGGUGUGAAUUGCAGAAUCCCGUGAACCAUCGAGUCUUUGAACGCAAGUUGCGCCCGAAGCCGUUAGGCCAAGGGCACGUCUGCCUGGGCGUCACGCAUCGCGUCGCCCCCCCAUGCCGCCCCGGACAAUGGCCUCCCGUGCGCGAUAGUGUGCGGCUGGCCUAAAUGAGAUCCCGCGGCGACUCACGUCACGACCAGUGGUGGUUGAACUCUCAACUCGCGUGCUGUCAUGACGACGUCGUCUGUCGGGAAUCACGAGACCCAAAGGUGCGAGCCAUUCGCGCUUUCGACCGCGACCCCAGGUCAGGCGGGAUUACCCGCUGAGUUUAA
This 634-nucleotide ribosomal RNA is filed under the name Lindenbergia philippensis. Its description in RNAcentral is "eukaryotic LSU rRNA". The stretch from base 243 to 398 matches the Rfam family "5.8S ribosomal RNA". The record is from RNAcentral. Lineage: Eukaryota; Viridiplantae; Streptophyta; Magnoliopsida; Lamiales; Orobanchaceae.